AGAGCAGACAAAAUGUCAGUUAGUACUCAGUGAAGCAAACAGAGAUCUUUGGUUACUCGGCAACAUCUGGUAGAGAGGACGACGUCGCAACCACUUUACCAAUUAGCAAAGGACUCUAGUCAGAAUGGUUUUCCCCAAAGCAGGGUGGUUUGGUUUUAUUCCUCUGGUUUUAUGCUACACUGUGAGCCCGCCAGGAUUCACACCCCUCUAUGAGGACUUGAUGGAUAUCAACUCACCCAGUCUUCAUGAAAGAGAGAAAAGAGAAG
Molecule: long non-coding RNA, 266 nt
Organism: Xiphophorus couchianus (Monterrey platyfish)
Lineage: Eukaryota; Metazoa; Chordata; Actinopteri; Cyprinodontiformes; Poeciliidae
Exons: 4
Source: RefSeq, a predicted model, not a curated record